This 263-nucleotide ribosomal RNA is filed under the name uncultured bacterium. RNAcentral describes it as "partial 16S ribosomal RNA". It matches the Rfam family "Bacterial small subunit ribosomal RNA", at positions 793 to 1055 of the family's 1533-position model. The record is from RNAcentral.
GUCCUUGCCGUAAACGAUGUAUACUUGAUGUAGUUGGGCUCAACCCUGACUGUGUCGAAGCUAACGCGAUAAGUAUACCGCCUGGGGAGUACGCUCGCAAGGGUGAAACUCAAAAGAAUUGACGGGGGCCCGCACAAGCAGUGGAGCAUGUGGUUUAAUUCGAUGCAACGCGAAGAACCUUACCCAGGUUUGAAAUUCAGAGGACGAUGGCAGAGAUGUCAUUUCCCGCAAGGGCCUCUGGACAGGUGCUGCAUGGCUGUCGU